CACACAUAAAUUAGAGUAUUCGUGUACGAUUUUACACACAACUUUUGCUCCUGAAAUAUUGGGUUUUCUCUUAGUCGAUUAGCUUUUCAUGUAACUUGUGCCAUUCUCUAAAAAAUCUCGUCGUCGCUUCCAUUGUCCCAAAACUGAUAUAGCCUUCAGUGUUUGGCCUGGCCUUUUGAGGCCGCUCUAUAGUCAAAUAGUAUAUAUUAUAAUGAUUCUUAAUUAGUCAAAUGGUUACCUCGCUUUGUUAAUAAUUACUAUAUUAGAUGUGUUUCAUAAUCUCCGUCGAGGAGACAGAAUCUCCUGAAUUUGGCUGAUAUAAGGUACAAAUGCAUGUGACUACAUUGAUACUUUAGUUUACUACAUAUAUAUGAUACUUAAUAUUAUCUGCAGUUUUUAUCUCAUCAACUUCAAUUAUUGCUGCCUCAUUACAUACAUUAGAAGUUAUAAUAUAUGUACUCUAAAAUUAUAUAUACUCUUAUUCAGUUAACGAGGCGAAGUAUAUUAAAUCCAAGACAAAAUGAAAAGAGAAGCUAAAAUCCUAAAAGUAUGUGUUCUUACUACAAAUGCACGAUUAACUGACGUUCCAGUUUCUCAAAAUAUUAGAAAAAAUCCGACUUAACUUGAACAAUUCGAUAUAUAACCUAAUUCUUACUACAAAUAUCCUUUUAGGUGGAGCAUCAAACAUGUAAAUGCAUUUUUACUUAUUUCGACGGAAUAGAGCUUUCGUUGAACCAUUCAUACAUGGAGUGAUCGAGCUAUUGUUUGGACCGUAUUAACGGAUCAACAUGUAUUCAUGUUUUGAUAUCAUGUUAAUUUGUUAUGGGGUUCCAAUUCUAAAUCAAUUUGGCAAUAAAUAAAUUAACUCAUGUCUUUUAUGUAUUACUCAAAUCCAUUUUCAUCUCUGAUGUGAGACCUUUCUUCACAAUAUAUCAAAUAACUGGGUUUGAAACCUUUUUCGAAAAUUACUAUUAAUAUUAUUAACUCCAUAAUGUUUUAGCUACAGUGCAUUAAUGUCAAAUAUUCUGUAUACACGUGGAAACCUCAAUAAGAAUUAGCAAUUUGACAGAAUAAAUAACAAGUAAUUGGCUCUUCAAUCCUAGGAAGUAAUUAAGUACCCCCUAUCGCUCAUUAAAAUUUUGGAGUUGUACGUGUUAAAUUAUUAAAACUCCAACAUGAGUGAUUCUUGGCAUGUGUCUCCUAACCAAAUCUUUCUCAGUUCUUGUAAGCUGCCACGUUAAGAAAAAAGGUGCUGUGUAAUUCCUUGGUUAGUUUAUAUCUAAGAAAUAGAUAAAUUAAUACACUAAUCCAUAAUGUAGUUCAUUUCUAAGGAUCAUAACCCACGUUUCAUUCUUGUUUAAUCACUCUUUUUUUUUUUUUUAAUGAAUUUUAAUCAUCAUUUGAUUAGUUUAUAGGGUACUGCAAACAAUAAUGAAUAUCUUAAUUAGAAAUGAAACUAUAUCACAUAAGUGAAUCUCCCAUGAAGACAGGGAUUUCGUAAGAAACAAGUACAAAUAAACUAAUGUAUGGAAACUUUUGAAGUGCCUCAUGGAGUUAUUUAUCCACUUUGGUUGUUUUGUAAAGACAAAAUUUGUAGUGCCCUUUGAAAUACUUAAAAGGGAGGAUAUUCCCACAACUUAUAUUACUAGUUUUAGUGGAUACGAAUCUCUAUUUCGUAUUUUAUUAAUCAAAUACUUAUAUUAUAAUAGCAAACAACAAAUGUAUUAUUAGAUUAAAAAAAUUGUUGUAGUUAGUCUUUUGAUUUAAAACACUUGUUUUAGAUUGCACAUAAUAAGGGGUUCAGGUCGAUUAUGAGUCUGUAUAGGCAGGCUACAUCGACUAUACCGGUAUCUUAAUUCUUAAUCAACGAUCUGGUAGCUGAUGUACAAUAUGUUACCGGUUUGGCGGUUUCUAACGUUUGUAUCGGUCUUUUUAUGAGGCAACAUAUGUUCUUAGAUUUUUUAAGUUAUUAUUUCUCAUGUGUUUUUUGUGUUUUUUUGUUCAAAAUUGGAACUAUGAAAUUUGGUAUUAGUCCUUUUAUGAGUCAAAAAAGUCUUUACUUUUUUAAAAUUUUUCAAGUGUUUAUAGCUUUUAGGUUGUUUUGUAGGAUAACGAUUAACAAACCAUUUUAUGAUGCAUAAUGUGGAAUUGGAGACAAGUUCAUGUAUCAUGAGUUUAGAAUUCGGUUAAAGAUUUCUCAUUGUUCUGUGUUAACCUAAAGUUUGGACACAUGAUAUCACUUGAAUCAUUUGUCAUUUGGUGAUGGAGUGAAACCAGCGGACCAAUGGUUUGACAAAUUUUUUAUUCUUGUUUUUAAUGUCUAAAAAAAGUUAUGGCUUUAUAUCCGUAUAUCCUUUGGAACAAUAUACCAUCUCCAGAACAUUUUAUAUAGUCUCUUCUCAAAUGUCAUUCGAACUAACAACUUCUAGAAUUAUAACAGUUUGACAAUUAUAUAUGCCAAUAUUAGUGAAGACAUGUUAGUUUGGCGAAUAGCUUAAACAUGUGCAAAAAAAUAAUUAAUGUUAAAUAUAUAUUUGCCUAAAGUUAUUAUAUGUAAC
RNAcentral lists this small RNA (2558 nucleotides) under Arabidopsis thaliana (thale cress). Its description in RNAcentral is "putative long intergenic non-coding RNA". Lineage: Eukaryota; Viridiplantae; Streptophyta; Magnoliopsida; Brassicales; Brassicaceae. The record is from RNAcentral.